UGGUGUUAUGUGCUCCGGCACAUUGUAUUUAUUUCUGUCUAUUUUUUUUUCACUUGGAUUAUUUUGUAUAGAAGUUAGUUGUAUGAUUUUUGUUGUUUAAUAUACUUUGGAGUUUUGAUAAUUCUUUCUUGUAAUUGGUCCGUUAAUUUGUGACGCCUUUGGACCGCCUAUAAAUAGGCUGGGUUGCGCCAGGUAAAGGACGCCCUCCCAACCAACACCGAGGAUGCGUUCUGACGCGGGGCGCACGUCUCCAGCCUGCCACACGGUAGUUUUUGUUAGCUGUUUGUUUGGUUGAUGUUUUUUUUGUUGUGAUUUUUGACCUGGUGGGACCGGUUGUCCUGUUUUCGAUUUUUCUUUAACAGUAGUUUCUUUUUUCUUGUAGUCCGGUACUAGCAGGGGCUUCGACGGCCCUGUAUAGGGUUGGCCCCCUGCUGUACCGUUUUGUUCUUUUUGAUCGGCUCAUCAGGUCCAACUUUCUGUUUAUACUUUGGGAUUUUUGUGUUCUUUCUUUUUUGGGACACGGGGAACCGAGGAUUUAAUUCUCUUUUUUCUUCACAGAAAAAUCAAAAGAAGCUCAUCUUAAAGAAAAGGUCGAGAGAAUUGAAAAUAAAAAUUACUUUUGAAUCCUCAUUUUUGUCUUCGUGUCCUCAAAUAUGUUGUGCCCUUUGUGGACGUAACAGCUUGUUGCAACUGGGU
This is a long non-coding RNA of Xiphophorus couchianus (Monterrey platyfish), 696 nucleotides long. RefSeq lists it as uncharacterized. The record is from RefSeq and is a predicted model, not a curated record. The transcript has 3 exons. Lineage: Eukaryota; Metazoa; Chordata; Actinopteri; Cyprinodontiformes; Poeciliidae.